UACAGAGGGGGCUAGCGUUGUUCGGAAUCACUGGGUGUAAAGGGUGCGUAGGCGGUCCGUUAAGUCUGAUGUGAAAGCCCUGGGCUCAACUCAGGAAUUGCAUUGGAAACUGGCGGGCUGGAGUACUGGAGAGGGAAGCGGAAUUCCUGGUGUAGCGGUGAAAUGCGUAGAUACCAGGAGGAACACCGGUGGCGAAGGCGGCUUCCUGGCCAAGUACUGACGCUGAGGCACGAAAGCGUGGGGAGCGAACGGGAUUAGAUACCCCGGUAGUCCACGCUGUAAACGAUGGGUGCUAGGUGUUGGAGGUAUCGACCCCUUCAGUGCCGUAGCUAACGCAUUAAGCACCCCACCUGGGGAGUACGUUCGCAAGAAUGAA
RNAcentral lists this ribosomal RNA (376 nucleotides) under uncultured bacterium. RNAcentral's name for it is "bacterial SSU rRNA". It matches the Rfam family "Bacterial small subunit ribosomal RNA", at positions 524 to 898 of the family's 1533-position model. The record is from RNAcentral.